UGGGGAAUCUUGGACAAUGGGCGCAAGCCUGAUCCAGCCAUGCCGCGUGAGUGAAGAAGGCCUUCGGGUUGUAAAGCUCUUUUACCAGGGACGAUAAUGACGGUACCUGGAGAAUAAGCCCCGGCAAACUUCGUGCCAGCAGCCGCGGUAAUACAGAGGUGGCAAGCGUUGUUCGGAAUUACUGGGCGUAAAGGGCGCGUAGGCGGCCCUCUAAGUCAGACGUGAAAUCCCCCGGCUUAACCUGGGAACUGCGUCUGAUACUGGAGGGCUUGAGUAUGGGAGAGGGAUGUAGAAUUCCAGGUGUAGCGGUGAAAUGCGUAGAUAUCUGGAGGAAUACCGGUGGCGAAGGCGGCAUCCUGGACCAUUACUGACGCUGAGGCGCGAAAGCUAGGGGAGCAAACGGGAUUAGAUACCCUGGUAGUCCCUGAGCGGGCUGGCAAGGCGCAU
This 447-nucleotide ribosomal RNA is filed under the name uncultured bacterium. Its description in RNAcentral is "bacterial SSU rRNA". It matches the Rfam family "Bacterial small subunit ribosomal RNA", at positions 355 to 825 of the family's 1533-position model. The record is from RNAcentral.